AGUGAACGCUGGCGGUAGGCCUAACACAUGCAAGUCGAACGGCAGCACAGUAAGAGCUUGCUCUUACGGGUGGCGAGUGGCGGACGGGUGAGGAAUACAUCGGACUCUACUUUUUCGUGGGGGAUAACGUAGGGAAACUUACGCUAAUACCGCAUACGACCUACGGGUGAAAGCAGGGGAUCUUCGGACCUUGCUCUAUUUAAUGAGCCGAUGUCGGAUUAGCUAGUUGGCGGGGUAAAGGCCCACCAAGGCGAGGAUCCGUAGCUGGUCUGAGAGGAUGAUCAGCCACACUGGAACUGAGACACGGUCCAGACUCCUACGGGAGGCAGAAGUGGGGAAUAUUGGAAAAUGGGCGCAAGCCUGAUCAAGCCAUACCGCGUGGGUGAAGAAGGCCUUCGGGUUGUAAAGCCCUUUUGUUGGGAAAGAAAAGCAGCAGGUUAAUACCCCGAUGGUCUGACGGUACCCAAAGAAUAAGCACCGGCUAACUUCGUG
RNAcentral lists this ribosomal RNA (492 nucleotides) under uncultured bacterium. Its description in RNAcentral is "partial 16S ribosomal RNA". It matches the Rfam family "Bacterial small subunit ribosomal RNA", at positions 29 to 507 of the family's 1533-position model. The record is from RNAcentral.